RNAcentral lists this ribosomal RNA (253 nucleotides) under uncultured bacterium. RNAcentral describes it as "partial 16S ribosomal RNA". It matches the Rfam family "Bacterial small subunit ribosomal RNA", at positions 524 to 776 of the family's 1533-position model. The record is from RNAcentral.
GACGAACCGUGCGAACGUUGUUCGGAUUCACUGGGCUUAAAGGGCGCGUAGGCGGGUGAUCAAGUCCGGGGUGAAAUCCUUCAGCUCAACUGGAGAAUAGCCUUGGAUACUGGUCGCCUCGAGGGAGGUAGGGGCGGGCGGAACUUCCGGUGGAGCGGUGAAAUGCGUAGAUAUCGUUUGGAACGCCAAUGGUGAAAACAGGUAGCUGGGAGUGUGCCGACGCUGAGACACGAAAGCCAGGGGAGCGAACGGG